Molecule: long non-coding RNA, 259 nt
Filed under: Lathyrus oleraceus (garden pea)
Lineage: Eukaryota; Viridiplantae; Streptophyta; Magnoliopsida; Fabales; Fabaceae
Description: Pisum sativum (pea) long non-coding RNA (PSAT_LNC002152)
Source: RNAcentral
CAACUUUUCUUUAUCAUAUCAGUAUGCAGAAGUAAUAAAACAGUUUCAAACAGAGUCAGAUCAAGUUCUAGAGACUAACAUACAUGAGUGAACUCACACAAGAAAGAAAUAGAUAAUUUUUUUUUAAUGUUAUCUAUUAUUAGGCUCAAAAUCUCACAACUGUUAAUGAUUUACCACAUAUAAUGCUAAUUCAGAAUUUAGUCCUACUUAACAAAUUAAGCAUGCACAGAAAAUCACUCAAAUCACACCACGAGUCUUU